Molecule: ribosomal RNA, 253 nt
Filed under: uncultured bacterium
Lineage: Bacteria
Description: partial 16S ribosomal RNA
Rfam family: Bacterial small subunit ribosomal RNA
Source: RNAcentral
UACGAAGGGGGCUAGCGUUGCUCGGAAUCACUGGGCGUAAAGCGCACGUAGGCGGAUUGUUAAGUCAGGGGUGAAAUCCUGGAGCUCAACUCCAGAACUGCCUUUGAUACUGGCGAUCUCGAGUCCGGGAGAGGUGAGUGGAACUGCGAGUGUAGAGGUGAAAUUCGUAGAUAUUCGCAAGAACACCAGUGGCGAAGGCGGCUCACUGGCCCGGUACUGACGCUGAGGUGCGAAAGCGUGGGGAGCAGACAGG